UAGGGAAUCUUCCACAAUGGGCGCAAGCCUGAUGGAGCAACGCCGCGUGUGUGAUGAAGGCUUUCGGGUCGUAAAGCACUGUUGUAUGGGAAGAAAUGCUAGGAUAGGGAAUGACUCUAGUUCGACGGUACCAUACCAGAAAGGGACGGCUAAAUACGUGCCAG
This 164-nucleotide ribosomal RNA is filed under the name uncultured bacterium. RNAcentral's name for it is "partial 16S rRNA". It matches the Rfam family "Bacterial small subunit ribosomal RNA", at positions 355 to 511 of the family's 1533-position model. The record is from RNAcentral.